RNAcentral lists this ribosomal RNA (253 nucleotides) under uncultured bacterium. Its description in RNAcentral is "partial 16S ribosomal RNA". It matches the Rfam family "Bacterial small subunit ribosomal RNA", at positions 524 to 776 of the family's 1533-position model. The record is from RNAcentral.
UACGUAGGGGGCGAGCGUUGCCCGGAUUCACUGGGCGUAAAGCGCGUGUAGGCGGUCUGUUAAGUCGGAUGUGAAAUCUCCGGGCUCAACCCGGAAACUGCAUCCGAUACUGGCAGACUUGAGGAUGGUAGAGGUCGGUGGAAUACCAGGUGUACCGGUGAAAUGGGCAGAUAUCUGGUGGAACACCAGUGGCGAAGGCGGCCGACUGGGCCAAUCCUGACGCUGAGACGCGAAAGCCAGGGUAGCGAACCGG